GUGCUUGCUUUGGCAGAACAUACACUAAAAUUGGAACAAUACAAAGAUUAGCACAGCCCCUGCGCAAGGAUGACACACAAAUUUAUGAAUUGUUCCAUAUUUUU
Molecule: small nuclear RNA, 104 nt
Organism: Otolemur garnettii (small-eared galago)
Lineage: Eukaryota; Metazoa; Chordata; Mammalia; Primates; Galagidae
Source: Ensembl